GCGUAACACGUAGGAAUCUGCCCGGUAGUGGGGGAUAGCCCGGAGAAAUCCGGAUUAAUACCGCAUACGCCUUANNNGGGAAAGAAGGGGCCUCUUCGGAGCCUUUCGCUAUCGGAUGAGCCUGCGUCGGAUUAGCUAGUUGGUGGGGUAAAGGCCUACCAAGGCGACGAUCCGUAGCUGGUCUGAGAGGAUGAUCAGCCACACUGGGACUG
This 212-nucleotide ribosomal RNA is filed under the name uncultured Gammaproteobacteria bacterium. Its description in RNAcentral is "partial 16S ribosomal RNA". It matches the Rfam family "Bacterial small subunit ribosomal RNA", at positions 108 to 321 of the family's 1533-position model. The record is from RNAcentral. Lineage: Bacteria; Pseudomonadati; Pseudomonadota; Gammaproteobacteria.